UGCCAGCAGCCGCGGUAAGACGAAGGUGGCAAACGUUGCUCGGAAUUACUGGGCAUAAAGAGCGCGUAGGUGGCGAGAUAAGCGAGGAAUGAAAUCCCAUGGCUCACCCAUGGAACUGUUUUUCGAACUGUCUUGCUUGAGGACGGGAGGGGAAGGUGGAAUUCCUGGUGUAGCGGUGAAAUGCGUAGAUAUCAGGAGGAACACCGGUGGCGAAAGCGACCUUCUGGCCCGAUCCUGACACUGAGGCGCGAAAGCUAGGGGAGCAAACAGGAUUAGAUA
RNAcentral lists this ribosomal RNA (279 nucleotides) under uncultured bacterium. Its description in RNAcentral is "partial 16S ribosomal RNA". It matches the Rfam family "Bacterial small subunit ribosomal RNA", at positions 506 to 784 of the family's 1533-position model. The record is from RNAcentral.